GCCCAGCUAGCUCAGUCGGCAGAGCUUGAGAUUCCUAAUCUCAGAGAGUCGUGGGUUCGAGCCCCACGUUGGGCA
Molecule: non-coding RNA, 75 nt
Organism: Choloepus didactylus (southern two-toed sloth)
Lineage: Eukaryota; Metazoa; Chordata; Mammalia; Pilosa; Megalonychidae
Source: the annotation of a RefSeq genome assembly